AGAGGACUGAGGACUAAAACGAAAAUACUCUGCCUGCCAAAAAAGGCAGACGAUCCAGUGGCCCCAGGUUUACACACCAUCUGCUGGUUUGAGGCAGACUGACCGCUGGGGAGAUGGACCUCACCUGGCACCAUUACUCUGGAUGUAACAGCUCGACUCUCCUGUCAAUCAAAACAUCAAUGACUCGAGAAGCGGACAGCGAGGUUUCUGGUGCCUGGCUGGAGACGAGAUUCUGAUUAUUCAAGAGCCAAAACAAAACGUCAGAAUAAAUAGUUAGAAGGCAGAUUUGUUUUCUAUUUGUUGUUGUUUUCAUUAUUAAUGCUCCAUAACACAAAAUUCAUCAGUGCUGUAACUCUUGAGUUGAAUAAAAUGUUCUUCUUUCAAUCUGUUAUUUCUGGAGUCUUUUUAUUUUUAACCAUAAUCAUUUUUGGAAACGUUAUAUAUUAAAGGAACGCCCACAUUUUUAAUAGAAC
Long non-coding RNA from Xiphophorus maculatus (southern platyfish), 473 nucleotides. RefSeq lists it as uncharacterized. Lineage: Eukaryota; Metazoa; Chordata; Actinopteri; Cyprinodontiformes; Poeciliidae. The record is from RefSeq and is a predicted model, not a curated record. The transcript is spliced from 3 exons.